Felis catus (domestic cat) is the source of this 1280-nucleotide long non-coding RNA. RefSeq lists it as uncharacterized. The record is from RefSeq and is a predicted model, not a curated record. NCBI's taxonomy places the organism in Eukaryota, Metazoa, Chordata, Mammalia, Carnivora, Felidae. The transcript has 4 exons.
AAUAAAGCAGCAGGAGCAGAUGAACUCUUAGAAACAAAGAUCCUAAUUUUUUUACAGCAAAGGACAUCCCUCACUAAGCUUACCUGGCUUUACAGAUUAUACCCUCCUGGAAUCCCACAGAGUAAUACACGAAUUCUAGAAAAGCACCCACGUAAAAUCUGCUGGUUUGUCAUAAGGCAAGCCCAAACAUGGGAGGGCGAGGUGGGGAUAAAGCAAAUGCCUCUCAGGUGUCAGUCAAAAUAAUUGUUAGCUUCCACUACCAGGGUGACAUUCACUGGAAAGAAUAAAAUAUCUCCAGAGCUAUCCUUAUUAAGCCAAACGUAAUAAGAAUUUGCACCAGUCAGUGGCUGCGGAAGCCACUAAUGAAAGUCCCUCUGACCUGGAGACAUGCCAGCCCACGGGGGAUGAACAGUUUGUCUCCAGUCUUUGCAGAGGGGAUAUGGAUGAUCACAGUGCUUGUUGGGUCAACCCAGAGUUUAAGAAGGGCUCCCUGUGAAGCCUUUCCAGGAGAGUGGAGUUCCGAGGGCAGAGCAGCAUGGAGACCCUAGGCUUGCCUCGUCCCUGAAACGCAACUAGGUCAGCAGCAAACCAUUUUGCACGCCUAGGAAACUGAUCUGGGGAUUAACACAACAAUCUGCAUAACUUGAGCCACACAACUCAGCAGCAGGCUCUAUGUUUGAUUCAACCUCUAUUCCUGUGUUCCUAAUGGUGCCUGCCCAAAGUAAGCACUUAAAAGACAUCUGUGUGCUGAACCACCAAAAGCAAAGAGUGGUUAGUGUAGUGGUAAGGCAGCCAAGCUAAUGAACUCAACUAGCCAUCCUGGAAGCACAUGGUGACAGGAAGGCAACGGUGAACACGAGCAGAUGAGGACACCAAGGCUUAGAAAAGAAUCCGCCCAAGUCCACACGGUUAAUGUGUGGCAAAGCGGAGGAUCUGAAUGAGAUCUCUAUGAAGUCUUUGUUUGUGGCCUCCAAACAACUUCUUGAAAAGUAUUAAAAUUAACUAUGUGAAAAUAAUGGAUACUAGCCAACGGUUCUUAAACACCAUAGACUAAGCCUUGGUGCUAAACACUGGGGGUAUCAUCGUUUUUGUGGGUGAAGUCCUCAACAACUUUGGUUAUUUUAUUGUUAUAGUGUCACAGACUCACUACAUUCAGCUACUCAUAUAUGCACACGCCAUUUGUUUCCUUACCGUCUUAGUCGUUGACAACUCCAUGCUGUUCAAACCAAAAUGUAGGUGUCCUAGACUCCUACCUGUCUCUCACAUUCCUCUCAGUUCGU